This 458-nucleotide ribosomal RNA is filed under the name uncultured bacterium. RNAcentral's name for it is "bacterial SSU rRNA". It matches the Rfam family "Bacterial small subunit ribosomal RNA", at positions 340 to 786 of the family's 1533-position model. The record is from RNAcentral.
UACGGGAGGCAGCAGUGGGGAAUAUUGCACAAUGGGCGAAAGCCUGAUGCAGCUAUGCCGCGUGUAUGAAGAAGGCCUUAGGGUUGUAAAGUACUUUCAUCGGGGAGGAAAAAACAAAACUAAUAAUUUUAUUUCUUGACGUUACCCGAAAAAGAAGCACCGGCUAACUCCGUGCCAGCAGCCGCGGUAAUACGGAGGGUGCUAGCGUUAAUCAGAAUUACUGGGCGUAAAGAGCACGUAGGUGGUUUUUUUAAAGUCAGAUGUGAAAUCCCUGGGCUUAACCUAGGAACUGCAUUUUGAAACUGAAAUACUAGAGUAUCGUAGAGGGAGGUAGAAUUCUAGGUGUAGCGGUGAAAUGCGUAGAUAUCUGGAGGAAUACCUGCGGCGAAAGCGGCCUCCUAAACGAAUACUGACACUGAGGGUGCGAAAGCGUGGGGAGCAAACAGGGAUUAGAUACC